GCAACCUACGGGGCGCAGCAGUGGGGGAUAUUGGACAAUGGGGGAAACCCUGAUCCAGCGACGCCGCGUGAGUGAAGAAGUAUUUCGGUAUGUAAAGCUCUAUCAGCAGGGAAGAAAGAAAUGACGGUACCUGAGUAAGAAGCCCCGGCUAACUACGUGCCAGCAGCCGCGGUAAUACGUAGGGGGCAAGCGUUAUCCGGAUUUACUGGGUGUAAAGGGAGCGUAGACGGCUGUGCAAGUCUGAAGUGAAAGCCCGUGGCUCAACCGCGGAACUGCUUUGGAAACUGUAUAGCUUGAGUACUGGA
This 305-nucleotide ribosomal RNA is filed under the name uncultured bacterium. Its description in RNAcentral is "bacterial SSU rRNA". It matches the Rfam family "Bacterial small subunit ribosomal RNA", at positions 334 to 653 of the family's 1533-position model. The record is from RNAcentral.